Molecule: ribosomal RNA, 873 nt
Filed under: Micrococcus luteus
Lineage: Bacteria; Bacillati; Actinomycetota; Actinomycetes; Micrococcales; Micrococcaceae
Description: bacterial SSU rRNA
Rfam family: Bacterial small subunit ribosomal RNA
Source: RNAcentral
GUGCCAGCAAGCCGCGUAAUACGUAGGUGGCGAGCGUUAUCCGGGAAUUAUUGGCGUAAAGAGCUCGUAGGCGGUUGUCGCGUCUGUCGUGAAAGUCCGGGGGCUUAACCCCGGGAUCUGCGGUGGGUACGGGCAGACUAGAGUGCAGUAGGGGAGACUGGAAUUCCUGGUGUAGCGGUGGAAUGCGCAGAUAUCAGGAGGAACACCGAUGGCGAAGGCAGGUCUCUGGGCUGUAACUGACGCUGAGGAGCGAAAGCAUGGGGAGCGAACAGGAUUAGAUACCCUGGUAGUCCAUGCCGUAAACGUUGGGCACUAGGUGUGGGGACCAUUCCACGGUUUCCGCGCCGCAGCUAACGCAUUAAGUGCCCCGCCUGGGGAGUACGGCCGCAAGGCUAAAACUCAAAGGAAUUGACGGGGGCCCGCACAAGCGGCGGAGCAUGCGGAUUAAUUCGAUGCAACGCGAAGAACCUUACCAAGGCUUGACAUGUUCUCGAUCGCCGUAGAGAUACGGUUUCCCCUUUGGGGCGGGUUCACAGGUGGUGCAUGGUUGUCGUCAGCUCGUGUCGUGAGAUGUUGGGUUAAGUCCCGCAACGAGCGCAACCCUCGUUCCAUGUUGCCAGCACGUCGUGGUGGGGACUCAUGGGAGACUGCCGGGGUCAACUCGGAGGAAGGUGAGGACGACGUCAAAUCAUCAUGCCCCUUAUGUCUUGGGCUUCACGCAUGCUACAAUGGCCGGUACAAUGGGUUGCGAUACUGUGAGGUGGAGCUAAUCCCAAAAAGCCGGUCUCAGUUCGGAUUGGGGUCUGCAACUCGACCCCAUGAAGUCGGAGUUCGCUAGUAAUCGGCAGGUCAGGAAGCGCGUGACCACGUCGG